UUGUAAUUUAAUUGCAUUAUUGAAGAAUAAUUCUAAAAUUAUCCGUUGGUAAUCCAUUAGCAUUCCACUGUUAUUAGCAAUGGAAAUUGUCCGUUACUAAAAUUCCGUUUGUAAGGCUUCCUUUUCUAGUAGUGAUAGUUGAAAAUGAAUUUGGACAACAUGAGUUUUAGAAAAUGGAGGCCAAACAUGGACUAAAUACUACCAUUAACAACCAACAACAUAUUACUGUUUUACCGCACAUAAAAUAUUACAACUUCAUGAUGUACGUAAUUAAAAUAUUAGCACAAGUGACAUACUAAAAUAUUACAGUUUAACUACUAUGACAUAAAAUAAUAUUAAGAAUUCAAUAAUAAAUAAAACUUAUAAACAAGAAUACUACACGGUUCAGCAUUAUUAUGGCAUAUCUAUGUCUACGAGAGACGAGAGAAGAAUGUAUUUACUUAUAUUUGGAGUUUAUAAUUAUAAUGAGACACAUAAAUAUAACCAUUUUACAUCAAGGUUGCCAAUGCCUAUAAAGGAUGAGGAAAAUCAACAAAAGGAAAUGAACAAUUCAUGAAAAUAUUCCAAUUAUAUUCACUAAAAUCACCCACAAUAUAUUCUUCAAUAUUAGCAAAUAUCCUCAAGUAUCACUCUUCUCCAACAAUUUUAACUCAAUUUAUUCUAUGAUUUUAGAAAUAAAAUUCAUAUGGCUCCACUAACAUACACUACAACUCAUUGACAACAUGAUUCUCGUUUGGCUGCCAUUAAUUUCCAUUCCAUUACAUUUCAUUUUUCUCUCUCCUAUUUUCUACCACACAAUCUUCCAUAAAAU
RNAcentral lists this long non-coding RNA (811 nucleotides) under Olea europaea subsp. europaea. Lineage: Eukaryota; Viridiplantae; Streptophyta; Magnoliopsida; Lamiales; Oleaceae. The record is from RNAcentral.